GCAAAAAUAGCUCAAUGGUAGAGUAUAACCUUGC
RNAcentral lists this transfer RNA (34 nucleotides) under Phytophthora infestans (potato late blight agent). Its description in RNAcentral is "partial tRNA-Gly". The record is from RNAcentral. Lineage: Eukaryota; Oomycota; Peronosporomycetes; Peronosporales; Peronosporaceae.